UCGGGAAUUUUGGGCAAUGGGCGAAAGCCUGACCCAGCAACGCCGCGUGAGGGAUGAAGUAUUUCGGUAUGUAAACCUCGAAAGAAUGGGAAGAAUAAACGACGGUACCAUUUAUAAGCUCCGGCUAACUACGUGCCAGCAGCCGCGGUAAUACGUAGGGAGCAAGCGUUGUUCGGAUUUACUGGGCGUAAAGGGCGCGUAGGCGGCGCGGUAAGUCACUUGUGAAAUCUCUGAGCUUAACUCAGAACGGCCAAGUGAUACUGCUGUGCUAGAGUGCGGAAGAGGCAACCGGAAUUCUUGGUGUAGCGGUUAAAUGCGUAGAUAUCAAGAGGAACACCUGAGGCGAAGGCGGGUUGCUGGGCCGACACUGACGCUGAUGCGCGAAAGCCAGGGGAGCAAACG
RNAcentral lists this ribosomal RNA (402 nucleotides) under uncultured bacterium. RNAcentral's name for it is "bacterial SSU rRNA". It matches the Rfam family "Bacterial small subunit ribosomal RNA", at positions 355 to 774 of the family's 1533-position model. The record is from RNAcentral.